RNAcentral lists this non-coding RNA (24 nucleotides) under Cricetulus griseus (Chinese hamster). The record is from RNAcentral. Lineage: Eukaryota; Metazoa; Chordata; Mammalia; Rodentia; Cricetidae.
AUGUGUUUUGGCCUGCAUGAUGAC